GCCUUUGAUGAUACAAUCCAACUUUCUGAGAUGUUGUGAAGUCAAGACCCUGUUUCAGGGAGAACCUACUUGGUGGAAUAACAUUUGUACGAGUUAUAUGGAUUUCGCUGAGGU
This is a small nucleolar RNA of Cucurbita maxima (winter squash), 114 nucleotides long. RefSeq annotates it as small nucleolar RNA Z278. The record is from RefSeq and is a predicted model, not a curated record. The transcript has a single exon. NCBI's taxonomy places the organism in Eukaryota, Viridiplantae, Streptophyta, Magnoliopsida, Cucurbitales, Cucurbitaceae.